This 653-nucleotide ribosomal RNA is filed under the name uncultured bacterium. Its description in RNAcentral is "bacterial SSU rRNA". It matches the Rfam family "Bacterial small subunit ribosomal RNA", at positions 31 to 731 of the family's 1533-position model. The record is from RNAcentral.
GAACGCUGGCGGCAGGCCUAACACAUGCAAGUCGAGCGAGGUAGCGAUAUCUAGCGGCGGACGGGUGAGUAACGCGUGGGAACGUACCCUUUGGUUCGGAAUAGCCCUGGGAAACUGGGAGUAAUACCGGAUACGGUCGAGAGACGAAAGAUUUAUCGCCGAAGGAUCGGCCCGCGUUGGAUUAGGUAGUUGGUGGGGUAAUGGCCUACCAAGCCGACGAUCCAUAGCUGGUUUGAGAGGAUGAUCAGCCACACUGGGACUGAGACACGGCCCAGACUCCUACGGGAGGCAGCAGUGGGGAAUCUUAGACAAUGGGCGCAAGCCUGAUCUAGCCAUGCCGCGUGAGCGAUGAAGGCCUUAGGGUUGUAAAGCUCUUUCAGGGGGGAAGAUAAUGACUGUACCCCCAGAAGAAGCCCCGGCUAACUCCGUGCAGCAGCCCGCGGUAAUACGGAGGGGGCUAGCGUUGUUCGGAAUUACUGGGCGUAAAGCGCACGUAGGCGGACCAGAAAGUCAGAGGUGAAAGCCCGGGGCUCAACCCCGGAACGGCCUUUGAAACUCCUGGUCUUGAGUUCGAGAGAGUGAGUGGAAUUCCGAGUGUAGAGGUGAAAUUCGUAGAUAUUCGGAGGAACGCCAGUGGCGAAGGCGGCUCACUG